Molecule: ribosomal RNA, 530 nt
Filed under: uncultured bacterium
Lineage: Bacteria
Description: bacterial SSU rRNA
Rfam family: Bacterial small subunit ribosomal RNA
Source: RNAcentral
AAUAGAUACCCAGGUAGUCCACGCCGUAAACGAUGAGUGCUAAGUGUUAGAGGGUUUCCGCCCUUUAGUGCUGCAGCUAACGCAUUAAGCACUCCGCCUGGGGAGUACGGUCGCAAGACUGAAACUCAAAGGAAUUGACGGGGGCCCGCACAAGCGGUGGAGCAUGUGGUUUAAUUCGAAGCAACGCGAAGAACCUUACCAGGUCUUGACAUCCCACUGACCGGUAUAGAGAUAUACCUUUCCCUUCGGGGACAGUGGUGACAGGUGGUGCAUGGUUGUCGUCAGCUCGUGUCGUGAGAUGUUGGGUUAAGUCCCGCAACGAGCGCAACCCUUGAUCUUAGUUGCCAGCAUUUAGUUGGGCACUCUAAGGUGACUGCCGGUGACAAACCGGAGGAAGGUGGGGAUGGACGUCAAAUCAUCAUGCCCCUUAUGACCUGGGCUACACACGUGCUACAAUGGAUGGUACAAAGGGCUGCAAGACUGCGAAGUCAAGCCAAUCCCAUAAAACCAUUCUCAGUUCGGAUUGCAGG